CUCUUUGUUUUUCAGAGUGACUCGCAAUCUAGAUACAUCUGAUUGCUCCCCCACCUUGACUAGAUUGGAUUAAACCUUUUUGCAAGAAUACACAUUAAACAGUUUCCUCAUGAGUGGAUUCAGAUUAAACAUGGGCAGCGUGGUGUACUUCUCAUUGCCUCACAGCAGGAGACGUUUGAGUCUGUCUGUCCCAUGAUUUCUGGUGCUGUAUUUGGUAAUUUUGGCUAAGGUGGAGUCGGCUACACAUCUCUUUGUGAAGGUGGCCUUUCCCCUUUGUUAUCAGUCAGUCAUCUGGGAUGAGACAUCAAGCCCUGUGAACAUCCUGUUCCCUGACAACCCUUCAGAGCGGGGUUCAGCGCCCUGCUGAAGCCUCUGGGAAACAUUGAUUACACUCACGUGACGGUGGGAAUUUCUCAGAUUCCUUCUACGUUGACUGCCUGCGUUAUUCAGUGAAGCAGACAUUGCCCGCUCCCUACAGUUUCGCCUGCAAAAUGUUCAAUUUUAAUUUAAAAGAUUAAUACAGCCAAGAUAUUCUUUCAACAGGCAAAUGAAAACCGCAGUUUAAACUCUAAGUUUCAAUCAGAAUCUAACAGCUCCUGGAUUUCCCGUGGCUCACACUCUUCUGAAACAACUCACAAAGAGCCUGAGGAAGCAGCUCUCCCUUAUCAGUGGGCCAGUUUAUUUGUCUCCCUGGGACUAGUAAUUCUGUAGUUACUGGAGGUAGUAGAAGGCACACAGAUCAUGCCAUUUCCCUCUAGUACUUGGAUAACUGAGAAAGAAAUGGCAGAAAAUUGUGAGUGGUAUUUCCAGCUCCUAACAGAGUAAGUUAUGCUUUUUCCUUAGACGUCCUAUGAAAGGGAAUAAGGAGUCCUUUGCAUUUGUAUGAUAUCAGUUUAUUUCCAAAGAAACAAUUGCUGUUGACAUCUGAAAACUAUAGAAAAAGUAUAAAAAUUACUACCAAUAAUGUUUCGUAUGUUUGUAAGUUUCUUUCCCAUAAUUUUCUUACAUUUAAAUAUUUAAUGUCUUGUGUUUAGAUCAUUCAUGUGGAAAGCUCUUUGGCCCAGCGUCAAAACAUUAAAUAAAAAGCAAACAGACCUUUA
This 1100-nucleotide long non-coding RNA is filed under the name Macaca fascicularis (crab-eating macaque). RNAcentral describes it as "lncRNA (ENSMFAG00000057258.1)". Lineage: Eukaryota; Metazoa; Chordata; Mammalia; Primates; Cercopithecidae. The record is from RNAcentral.